This 78-nucleotide microRNA precursor is filed under the name Pteropus vampyrus (large flying fox). RNAcentral's name for it is "miRNA (ENSPVAG00000026258.1)". The record is from RNAcentral. Lineage: Eukaryota; Metazoa; Chordata; Mammalia; Chiroptera; Pteropodidae.
CGGGACGGGGCUGGGCUGGGCUGGGCAGGGGCCGGGCUGUGGGCGCGGAGCUCCCGGCCACCCACUCAUCUUGCACUU